Molecule: non-coding RNA, 85 nt
Organism: Podarcis lilfordi (Lilford's wall lizard)
Lineage: Eukaryota; Metazoa; Chordata; Lepidosauria; Squamata; Lacertidae
Source: the annotation of a GenBank genome assembly
CUAUUGGGAAGGGAUAGCUCAGUCAGUAGAGCCUAAAACUCUUAAUCUCAGAGCCGUGGGUUCAAGCCCCACAUUGGGUGAAAGA